Molecule: small RNA, 93 nt
Filed under: Clostridiales bacterium
Lineage: Bacteria; Bacillati; Bacillota; Clostridia; Eubacteriales
Description: Gut-1 RNA
Rfam family: Gut-1 RNA
Source: RNAcentral
AACGGAAAUAUGUUUUCCGUUUUAAGAUGUGAAAUGUUGCUUCGCAACGUGAAAUAUGUCCCGCGGGAAACCGCGGGACAUAUGAAAUAUUCG